UCGCACCUACCGAUUGAAUGGUCCGGUGAAGCCUCGGGAUUGUGACUAGUUAUUGGUCGCGAGAACUUGUCUAAACCUUAUCAUUUAGAGGAAGGUG
This 97-nucleotide ribosomal RNA is filed under the name uncultured eukaryote. RNAcentral's name for it is "partial small subunit ribosomal RNA". It matches the Rfam family "Eukaryotic small subunit ribosomal RNA", at positions 1676 to 1785 of the family's 1831-position model. The record is from RNAcentral.